UACAGAGGGGGCAAGCGUUGUUCGGAAUUACUGGGCGUAAAGGGCGCGUAGGCGGCCUUCUAAGUCGAACGUGAAAUCCCCGGGCUCAACCCGGGAACUGCGUCCGAUACUGGAAGGCUUGAAUCCGGGAGAGGGAUGCGGAAUUCCAGGUGUAGCGGUGAAAUGCGUAGAUAUCUGGAGGAACACCGGUGGCGAAGGCGGCUUCCUGGACCGACACUGACGCUGAGGCGCGAAAGCUAGGGGAGCAAACGGG
RNAcentral lists this ribosomal RNA (253 nucleotides) under uncultured bacterium. Its description in RNAcentral is "partial 16S ribosomal RNA". It matches the Rfam family "Bacterial small subunit ribosomal RNA", at positions 524 to 776 of the family's 1533-position model. The record is from RNAcentral.